This 990-nucleotide ribosomal RNA is filed under the name Dibaeis baeomyces. RNAcentral describes it as "SSU rRNA". It matches the Rfam family "Eukaryotic small subunit ribosomal RNA", at positions 75 to 1072 of the family's 1831-position model. Lineage: Eukaryota; Fungi; Ascomycota; Lecanoromycetes; Pertusariales; Icmadophilaceae. The record is from RNAcentral.
UAUACGGUGAAACUGCGAAUGGCUCAUUAAAUCAGUUUUCGUUUAUUUGAUAGUACCUUACUACUUGGAUAACCGUGGUAAUUUUAGAGUUAAUACAUGCUGAAAACCUCGACUUCGGAAGGGGUGUAUUUAUUAGAUAAAAAACCAAUGCCCUCCGGGGCUUUUUGGUGAUUCAUAAUAACUUAACGAAUCGCAUGGCCUUGCGCCGGCGAUGGUUCAUUCAAAUUUCUGCCCUAUCAACUUUCGAUUGUUGGGUAGUGGCCAACAAUGGUGUUUACGGGUAACGGGGAAUUAGGGUUCUAUUCCGGAGAGGGAGCCUGAGAAACGGCUACCACAUCCAAGGAAGGCAGCAGGCGCGCAAAUUAUCCAAUCCCGACACGGGGAGAUAGUGACAAUAAAUACUGAUCUGGGGCAUUUUUAUGUCUCAGAAUUGGAAUGAGUACAAUUUAAAUCCCUUAACGCGGAACAAUUGGAGGGCAAGUCUGGUGCCAGCAGCCGCGGUAAUUCCAGCUCCAAUAGCGUAUAUUAAAUUUGUUGCAGUUAAAAAGCUCGUCGUUGAAACUUGGAUUUGGUCGGUCGGUCCGCCUCACCGCGUGCACUGAUUCGACCGGAUCUUUCCUUCUGGGGAAGCGCAUGCCCUUCAUUGGGCGUUUUCGGGGAACCAGGACUUUUACUUUGAAAAAAUUAGAGUGUUCAAAGCAGGCCUAUGCUCGAAUACAUUAGCAUGGAAUAAUAGAAUAGGACGUGUGGUUCUAUUUUGUUGGUUUCUAGGACCGCCGUAAUGAUUAAUAGGGAUAGUCGGGGGCAUCAGUAUUCCGUUGUCAGAGGUGAAAUUCUUGGAUUUACGGAAGACUAACUACUGCGAAAGCAUUUGCCAAGGAUGUUUUCAUUAAUCAGUGAACGAAAGUUAGGGGAUCGAAGACGAUCAGAUACCGUCGUAGUCUUAACCAUAAACUAUGCCGACUACGGAUCGGACGGUGUUAUUAUUUU